AACGAACGCUGGCGGCGCGUUUUAAGCAUGCAAGUCGAGCGGCAAGGGCCUUCGGGCCCCUAGAGCGGCGGACGGGUGAGUAACACGUGGACAAUCUGCCCCCCGGCCGGGGAUAGCCCAGGGAAACCUGGAUUAAUACCGGAUGAGACGGGACGCACGAGGGUGCGAUCCGGGAAAGGCGCUGCGGCGCCGCCGGGGGAUGAGUCCGCGACCCAUUAGCUGGACGGCGGGGUAAAGGCCCACCGUGGCGACGAUGGGUAGCCGGCCUGGGAGGGUGGACGGCCACAUUGGAACUGAGACACGGUCCAGACGCCUACGGGAGGCAGCAGCUAAGAAUCUUCCGCAAUGGGCGAAAGCCUGACGGAGCGACGCCGCGUGAACGAAGAAGGCCGUGAGGUUGUAAAGUUCUUUUCGGGAGGGGGAAUGACCGUGGCAGGGAAUGGCCGCGGGAUGACGUGAAUCCCGGAAUAAGCCCCGGCUAACUACGUG
RNAcentral lists this ribosomal RNA (489 nucleotides) under uncultured bacterium. Its description in RNAcentral is "bacterial SSU rRNA". It matches the Rfam family "Bacterial small subunit ribosomal RNA", at positions 28 to 507 of the family's 1533-position model. The record is from RNAcentral.